UACAGAGGGUGCAAGCGUUAUUCGGAAUUACUGGGCGUAAAGCGUGCGCAGGCGGUUUUGUAAGACUGUUGUGAAAUCCCCGGGCUCAACCUGGGAAUGGCGAUGGUGACUGCAAGGCUAGAGUUUGGCAGAGGGGGGUAGAAUUCCACGUGUAGCAGUGAAAUGCGUAGAUAUGUGGAGGAACACCGAUGGCGAAGGCAGCCCCCUGGGUCAAAACUGACGCUCAUGCACGAAAGCGUGGGGAGCAAACAGG
Molecule: ribosomal RNA, 253 nt
Filed under: uncultured bacterium
Lineage: Bacteria
Description: partial 16S ribosomal RNA
Rfam family: Bacterial small subunit ribosomal RNA
Source: RNAcentral